This 89-nucleotide transfer RNA is filed under the name Dreissena polymorpha. It matches the Rfam family "tRNA". From Rfam's summary of the family: Transfer RNA (tRNA) molecules are approximately 80 nucleotides in length. The record is from Rfam by way of RNAcentral. Lineage: Eukaryota; Metazoa; Mollusca; Bivalvia; Myida; Dreissenidae.
GCCGGAAUAGCUCAGUUGGGAGAGCGUUAGACUGAAGUUGUUUACGCAACAAUCAUCUAAAGGCCCCCGUUUCAAUCCUGGGUACGGCA